Molecule: ribosomal RNA, 497 nt
Filed under: uncultured bacterium
Lineage: Bacteria
Description: partial 16S ribosomal RNA
Rfam family: Bacterial small subunit ribosomal RNA
Source: RNAcentral
GACGAACGCUGGCGGCGUGCCUAAUACAUGCAAGUUGAGCGCUGAAGGUUGGUACUUGUACCAACUGGAUGAGCAGCGAACGGGUGAGUAACGCGUGGGGAAUCUGCCUUUGAGCGGGGGACAACAUUUGGAAACGAAUGCUAAUACCGCAUAAAAACUUUAAACACAAGUUUUAAGUUUGAAAGAUGCAAUUGCAUCACUCAAAGAUGAUCCCGCGUUGUAUUAGCUAGUUGGUGAGGUAAAGGCUCACCAAGGCGAUGAUACAUAGCCGACCUGAGAGGGUGAGCGGCCACAUUGGGACUGAGACACGGCCCAAACGCCUACGGGAGGCAGCAGUAGGGAAUCGUCGGCAAUGGACGAAAGUCUGACCGAGCAACGCCGCGUGAGUGAAGAAGGUUGUCGGAUCGUAAAACUCGGUUGGUAGAGAAGAACGUUGGUGAGAGUGGAAAGCUCAUCAAGUGACGGUAACUACCCAGAAAGGGACGGCUAACUACGUG